Molecule: ribosomal RNA, 1635 nt
Filed under: Escherichia coli
Lineage: Bacteria; Pseudomonadati; Pseudomonadota; Gammaproteobacteria; Enterobacterales; Enterobacteriaceae
Description: partial 23S ribosomal RNA
Rfam family: Bacterial large subunit ribosomal RNA
Source: RNAcentral
GAAUGCUGACAUAAGUAACGAUAAAGCGGGUGAAAAGCCCGCUCGCCGGAAGACCAAGGGUUCCUGUCCAACGUUAAUCGGGGCAGGGUGAGUCGACCCCUAAGGCGAGGCCGAAAGGCGUAGUCGAUGGGAAACAGGUUAAUAUUCCUGUACUUGGUGUUACUGCGAAGGGGGGACGGAGAAGGCUAUGUUGGCCGGGCGACGGUUGUCCCGGUUUAAGCGUGUAGGCUGGUUUUCCAGGCAAAUCCGGAAAAUCAAGGCUGAGGCGUGAUGACGAGGCACUACGGUGCUGAAGCGACAAAUGCCCUGCUUCCAGGAAAAGCCUCUAAGCAUCAGGUAACAUCAAAUCGUACCCCAAACCGACACAGGUGGUCAGGUAGAGAAUACCAAGGCGCUUGAGAGAACUCGGGUGAAGGAACUAGGCAAAAUGGUGCCGUAACUUCGGGAGAAGGCACGCUGAUAUGUAGGUGAAGCGACUUGCUCGUGGAGCUGAAAUCAGUCGAAGAUACCAGCUGGCUGCAACUGUUUAUUAAAAACACAGCACUGUGCAAACACGAAAGUGGACGUAUACGGUGUGACGCCUGCCCGGUGCCGGAAGGUUAAUUGAUGGGGUUAGCGGUAACGCGAAGCUCUUGAUCGAAGCCCCGGUAAACGGCGGCCGUAACUAUAACGGUCCUAAGGUAGCGAAAUUCCUUGUCGGGUAAGUUCCGACCUGCACGAAUGGCGUAAUGAUGGCCAGGCUGUCUCCACCCGAGACUCAGUGAAAUUGAACUCGCUGUGAAGAUGCAGUGUACCCGCGGCAAGACGGAAAGACCCCGUGAACCUUUACUAUAGCUUGACACUGAACAUUGAGCCUUGAUGUGUAGGAUAGGUGGGAGGCUUUGAAGUGUGGACGCCAGUCUGCAUGGAGCCGACCUUGAAAUACCACCCUUUAAUGUUUGAUGUUCUAACGUGGGCCCCUUACCGGGGUUGCGGACAGUGUCUGGUGGGUAGUUUGACUGGGGCGGUCUCCUCCUAAAGAGUAACGGAGGAGCACGAAGGUUGGCUAAUCCUGGUCGGACAUCAGGAGGUUAGUGCAAUGGCAUAAGCCAGCUUGACUGCGAGCGUGACGGCGCGAGCAGGUGCGAAAGCAGGUCAUAGUGAUCCGGUGGUUCUGAAUGGAAGGGCCAUCGCUCAACGGAUAAAAGGUACUCCGGGGAUAACAGGCUGAUACCGCCCAAGAGUUCAUAUCGACGGCGGUGUUUGGCACCUCGAUGUCGGCUCAUCACAUCCUGGGGCUGAAGUAGGUCCCAAGGGUAUGGCUGUUCGCCAUUUAAAGUGGUACGCGAGCUGGGUUUAGAACGUCGUGAGACAGUUCGGUCCCUAUCUGCCGUGGGCGCUGGAGAACUGAGGGGGGCUGCUCCUAGUACGAGAGGACCGGAGUGGACGCAUCACUGGUGUUCGGGUUGUCAUGCCAAUGGCACUGCCCGGUAGCUAAAUGCGGAAGAGAUAAGUGCUGAAAGCAUCUAAGCACGAAACUUGCCCCGAGAUGAGUUCUCCCUGACUCCUUGAGAGUCCUGAAGGAACGUUGAAGACGACGACGUUGAUAGGCCGGGUGUGUAAGCGCAGCGAUGCGUUGAGCUAACCGGUACUAAU